RNAcentral lists this ribosomal RNA (497 nucleotides) under uncultured bacterium. RNAcentral's name for it is "partial 16S ribosomal RNA". It matches the Rfam family "Bacterial small subunit ribosomal RNA", at positions 28 to 507 of the family's 1533-position model. The record is from RNAcentral.
GAUGAACGCUGGCGGCGUGCCUAAUACAUGCAAGUCGAGCGAACGGACGAGAAGCUUGCUUCUCUGAUGUUAGCGGCGGACGGGUGAGUAACACGUGGAUAACCUACCUAUAAGACUGGGAUAACUUCGGGAAACCGUAGCUAAUACCGGAUAAUAUUUUGAACCGCAUGGUUCAAAAGUGAAAGACGGUCUUGCUGUCACUUAUAGAUGGAUCCGCGCUGCAUUAGCUAGUUGGUAAGGUAACGGCUUACCAAGGCAACGAUGCAUAGCCGACCUGAGAGGGUGAUCGGCCACACUGGAACUGAGACACGGUCCAGACUCCUACGGGAGGCAGCAGUAGGGAAUCUUCCGCCAUGGGCGAAAGCCUGACGGAGCAACGCCGCGUGAGUGAUGAAGGUCUUCGGAUCGUAAAACUCUGUUAUUAGGGAAGAACAUAUGUGUAAGUAACUGUGCACAUCUUGACGGUACCUAAUCAGAAAGCCACGGCUAACUACGUG